This is a long non-coding RNA of Triticum aestivum (bread wheat), 3683 nucleotides long. RefSeq lists it as uncharacterized. The transcript is spliced from 9 exons. NCBI's taxonomy places the organism in Eukaryota, Viridiplantae, Streptophyta, Magnoliopsida, Poales, Poaceae. The record is from RefSeq and is a predicted model, not a curated record.
ACUUUUCAACCCCCUGGCAGAAAACAAAUGCUUUGCGUGACACAGAAAACAGGCGUCCGAGCGGCCCCUCUCCCCGAUUACCCUCGCUCGCACUAGGGUUCCCUGCGCCGCCGCCGCCGCCGCCAGCCAACCCAGCCUCCCAGCCGCUCCGCCCCUCUUCCUUUCCCGCUCACCGCGGUCGCCCCCUCCGUCCCGCUCGACUCCCUGCCGGUCCUCGCCGAGAAGCCUACGAGUCACCGCCGUGCACACCCCGUCGUCUACCACAUCCACCUCGUCCAACCGAAGGCUGCUCCCCUCACAGCGACGAAGUGAGGCACCAACGACCAUGACCUUGACGAGAGGCAGCCGGUAGAGUCGAAACCGCCUUCUCCACGGCCGUCGGUUGCUUCCCGGUCCGUCUGAGAUCCGUCCGAGCCACCGGUGAGACGAACGCUUCCUGUGUGCAGUGCACAUAGUAGCUCAUGGGGAGAAGGAAAGCAGUGGAGAAGAAGAGAUUGAAUGAUAUGUGCCUCUUGUAUGGGCUACUGUUAGGGCACUCUUUUGGGAUCGGGCACUGUGGAGCACAGGGAAGGAGGACAAGGAUGGGAGGUGUGUAGAAUUUGGCGCCAAGGGAGAUGAUCGAGAUGGUGGAGCAGAUCCAAUGGACUCUAGGAGACUAGGUGUUCUGGCCCAACUUCCUCUUUUCCUUCUUUGUGGUCUUUCUGUUGUGGUGACCGGAGGAUUGCUAACUUUGUGAUUGCCGCACAUAAACCUGCUGAGCCGACAUCGACGCCAAGUGCGGCGAUGCCACUUCCGAUGAUUGGGAGGGUGAGUUCUUCCUGGGCUUUACCAAGAUCAGCUAUGAGGGUCCAACUAGCAAGAGGCCGCUUUCUUACAAGUGGUAUAACACGGAGGAAGUGAUUCUUAUACAAAAAAUGAAAAUGAAGAAGGAGAAGAGAAUGUCCAUGGCUCAUCAGGGGGCGGCAGGCGGGGCGACACGAUGCUGACAAAGGUGUUCGUGGGUGGCCUGGCGUGGAAGACGAGCAAGGAGGGCGUGCAUGGCCACUUCGAGCGCUUCGGCGAGAUCCCCGAGGACGUCGUCAUCGCCGACAAGGGCACCAGCAGAUCCAAGGGCAGCAGAUUCUUACGUUCUGGAGACAGAGGCGGCCAUGAAGGGCUUGGCUCCGUACCCGUGAUUGACGGCCGGAGGGCCAACUGCAACCCCGACCUGCCUUGGGGUCCAGAGGUCCAAGGCGCCACAACCAACUGCCUCUGAUGCAUCCAUAUUCUGGUUCAUUCCAGCUCAGUGUGGUAAUCUGCAGCAAUCAAGUUAACAAAUCUUAGUUGAAGUAUGUGUUCUAAAUUUUCGGUGGUGAUUUUUUUGUGACUAGACCAAAUCAAAACUGAAGUAUGUAUUCUGAAUUUUGUUCAUAUGACUAGAUGCAUAUGAACUGAAGCUCCGUCAUUCUUUCUAAGGUGAUAGUGGUCGCAACCAGCUAAAAUUAGGGGCUAUAAAGGAACUAUAAAAAAUAUUUGAACUGCUGGCAAUGUCGAUGUAAACACGGGCAUUUAACCAGCAGAUUUUGAUUUAACUAUAACUAUCUAUUGACACAAGGCUAAAAAAAGAGUGGAAUUGAUUUGUAAGCAAUUCUUCUUGAGAUAGACUUUCUGGGUAGUUUGUUGCAAGUAUAUAACCUGGAACUUCAGUUCGAGAUAUACAACUGACAAUCUAUGAUCACUACGACAAUUUAGAUUGGUUAGCAAAAUUUCUUAGGCGGUGAGACUUAUGCAAGUAGCUAAGGCUACAAAUAGAUGAGCAUUGGCCAUGAUUAGCAGCACCGCAUCAGGAGGGCAUUCGUCCUGGAAGUGUGGUCGGGGCUGACUGGGGAUGAUUAUUUUUUCGGUGGUAAGGGAUGAUUGAACACAUGUGAGUGUCUUCUCAACUUGGCGUUGCUUCUAAUGUGUUGGACACUGAUCCAAGUUUGCAGUGAGCUGAGAUGCAUCUUUGAAAAUCUCAGCAGAGAGAUGCUAAUUCUCCAUGAUUAUUAACUUGAUGUCGGAAAUCUUAAUUUCGUCUUUCCUAUUGCAGGUUUAUUCCAGCUCGAUGUGGUAAUCUGCAGCAAUCAAGUUAACAAAUCUUAACUGAAGUAUGUGUUCUAAAUUGCCGGUGGUGAUUUUUUUUCUGACGAGACCAAAACAAACUGAAGUAUGCAUUCUGAAUUUUGUUCAUAUGACUAGAUGCAUAUGAACUGAAGCUCAGUCAUUCUUUCUAAGGUGAUAGUGGUUGCAACCAGUUAAGAUUAGGGGCUUUAAAGGAACUAUAAAAAAUAUGUGAACUGCUGGCAAUGUCGAUGUAAACACGGGCAUUUAACCAGCAAAUUUCGAUUUAACAAUAACUAUCUGUUGACACAAGGCUAAAAAAAGAGUAGAAUUGAUUUGUAAGCAAUUCUUCUUGAGAUAGAGACUUUCUGGGUAGUUUGCUACAAGUAUAUAACCUGGAACUUCAGUUCGAGAUAUACAACCGGCAAUCUAAGAUCACUACGACAAUCUAGAUAGGUUAGCAAAAUUUCUUAGGCGGUGAGACUUAUGCAAGUAGCUAAGACUACAAAUAGAUGAGUGUUGGCCAUGAUUAGCAGCACCACAUCAGGAGGGCAUUCGUCCUAGAAGUGUGGUCGGGGCCGACUGGGGAUGAUUAUUUUUUCGUGGGCAAGGUAUGAUUGAACACAGGUGAGUGUCUUCUCAACUUGGUGUUGCUUCUAAUGUGUUGGACACUGAUCCAAUUCUGCGGCGAGCUGAGAUGCAUCUUUGAAAAUCUCCUGAGAGGUCUGAAUUAGUCCAAGCCUAUGCAGAAUGCCUACAUAUGCCACUUGAACUUUGGAGGGGUAGACUGAUGGAUCGUUGGGCUGGGAUGAAGUUUCAUAUAGUGUGUUUUGUCACGAGAAGAAAUGCAAACGAAAACACAAUUACCUUACAUUGUUAAUGUAUAUGGUAUGAAGAAAACGGAACUUGUUUUACCUCUUUUUUUUUUCUAAUUUGUAACUCUUCUUACCUAUAUUUGGCAGAGGUACAAUGGUUAUUGACUUGUACUCCCUCCGUUCCAAAAUAGAUGACCCAAAAGGGAGUACGUUCUAUUUCUGACCCAACAAAUCUAAUAUGCAAGGAUAACAAUAAAAUCAGAAUGAUCAAAAGUUAAAACACAUGUGCAUGCUUCAUGAGUUAUGUAUACUUCUGAAUCUAUUUUUACCUCUACUAUCUGAUACGUUGAAUAGUGCAUGCUCUGCUCUUGCAUGCCACAUCUGCCUGUACUAUGCUGUUAUUUAUGAUUUCGGGGGAACUGAUAUCUUGAUUAUAGGAAGUGGAGAGGAAAACCCCUGAUCAGUAGGGAGUACAGGAUAACGUGGUCCAGCUCACCAUCCUAGGCUGCAGGCUGGUUUGGUAACAAGCGGAGACAGACUAAGGAAAAGGUGCCAAUGAUGGAGGUGUGUGUAGACAUGGAAGACCUUGCCACUAAGAGCUUCUUGCGAGGGCAAGAGGUAAACUGACGCUGAGUGUUGUGAUCUGUGGGGAGUAGUGUGAGGUGUCCAGUGAAGGGACAUGAUUCAGGCAAGUAACUGUUACUAUAGGAAAAGUCCCUUUGUACACUAAGUCCCUUUAAAGUGAUGUGCAUAGCACAAUAAAAUAGGAAAAGUUUAACCUUUGUUUUA